GCUGACACAUCCCUGCCAAUCUCCGGCAGACCCUCCCUCCCAGACCCUCCCACCUCCUGGACAGCAUCCAUGUUGAACAUGGACUUCAACAUGGAUGCUGUCCAGGAGGUGGGAGGGUCUGGGAGGGAGGGUCUGCCGGAGAUUGGCAGGGAUAUGUCAG
This is a non-coding RNA of Pelobates cultripes (western spadefoot toad), 160 nucleotides long. Lineage: Eukaryota; Metazoa; Chordata; Amphibia; Anura; Pelobatidae. The record is from the annotation of a GenBank genome assembly.